UAUGGUAGUUAAGAUCAAUAAACAAUGCAAAAUAUAAAUAUAUUAAGUAAUGUGAAUUUUUAGAUUUUAUAAACUAAUACGUUUUUGUAACUUAUAAAUAUAAUAGCUAUUUAUGCUCUGUCUAGAAAAGUCUAAUUUUACAGAAGCUGAAUAUACAUAAACUAGGGAAUACCUAUAUGCUACUGGGUUGCUUGUGCAUACUCUUAAAUGUAAGUAUAAAGGGAAAUAACAAAAUCUUAUAUCAUUACUUUUUCUUCUGGAGUUCAAAAAGUUUUAUUCUUGAUUCUGGAAGUCAUCUUAUCAGUCUGUUGCCACAUACCCAUACAAUAUAUAUCUUCUUAAUAUCUUGUAACUUCUGCUCUCAAAUCGGAGCCUAUAUUUCUUGAAGGUAAGACCAUCUUGUUUGUUGCUCCCAUUUUUGAAAGAUCAGAAUUGGGAGUGUUCUUUUAUUCAAAUUAAAUAAAAUGCCUCAUAACUAAAUACAAUAGAAAAGUAAAUAAACAAACUAAAGAUUGGGUUUAAUGCCUCACAAUCUUAUCAUUUAUCUAUACACACAAACAUAUAUAUGCAUGCAUGCACAUAUACAAGAGGAAGUCAAAAAGUUCUUACCCUCACGAUGUUGUAUGUGUACUAUAAAUGAUAGAUUACUGUCUUACUAAUAUGCAUGCCUUUUUUUGUCUUGAUAAGAUCCUGUUUAACUGGUGUUAGAAAUGUGAUAGUAGAUGAUGAUGUCAUGCUGGACAUUGAGUUAUGAUACAGUUUCUUCAACUUCAAGAAAAAACUGCACAAAUAAUCCAUGAAAAGAUGCCAGCUAUAUAUGAUGAGGAAUGACUCCCAUCAUAUGAGACUGUGAAAUGAUAGAAAUGAGAAUUCAAAUGUGAUUGUACCAGCCUACAGG
This 898-nucleotide long non-coding RNA is filed under the name Androctonus crassicauda. The record is from RNAcentral. Lineage: Eukaryota; Metazoa; Arthropoda; Arachnida; Scorpiones; Buthidae.